This 287-nucleotide ribosomal RNA is filed under the name uncultured bacterium. RNAcentral's name for it is "partial 16S ribosomal RNA". It matches the Rfam family "Bacterial small subunit ribosomal RNA", at positions 773 to 1060 of the family's 1533-position model. The record is from RNAcentral.
GUGGAUUAGAUACCCUGGUAGUCCACACCGUAAACGUUGGGCGCUAGGUGUGGGAUCCAUUCCACGGGUUCCGUGCCGCAGCUAACGCAUUAAGCGCCCCGCCUGGGGAGUACGGCCGCAAGGCUAAAACUCAAAGGAAUUGACGGGGGCCCGCACAAGCGGCGGAGCAUGCGGAUUAAUUCGAUGCAACGCGAAGAGCCUUACCUGGGUUUGACAUAGGAAGAAAACCAUCAGAGAUGGUGGGUCCGUAAGGGUUUCCUACAGGUGGUGCAUGGUCGUCGCCAACU